UAGGGAAUCUUCCGCAAUGGGCGAAAGCCUGACGGAGCAACGCCGCGUGAGUGAUGAAGGUCUUCGGAUCGUAAAACUCUGUUAUUAGGGAAGAACAUAUGUGUAAGUAACUGUGCACAUCUUGACGGUACCUAAUCAGAAAGCCACGGUUAACUACGUGCCAGCAGCCGCGGUAAUACGUAGGUGGCAAGCGUUAUCCGGAAUUAUUGGGCGUAAAGCGCGCGUAGGCGGUUUUUUAAGUCUGAUGUGAAAGCCCACGGCUCAACCGUGGAGGGUCAUUGGAAACUGGAAAACUUGAGUGCAGAAGAGGAAAGUGGAAUUCCAUGUGUAGCGGUGAAAUGCGCAGAGAUAUGGAGGAACACCAGUGGCGAAGGCGACUUUCUGGUCUGUAACUGACGCUGAUGUGCGAAAGCGUGGGGAUCAAACAGGAUUAGAUACCCUGGUAGUCCACGCCGUAAACGAUGAGUGCUAAGUGUUAGGGGGUUUCCGCCCCUUAGUGCUGCAGCUAACGCAUUAAGCACUCCGCCUGGGGAGUACGACCGCAAGGUUG
RNAcentral lists this ribosomal RNA (550 nucleotides) under uncultured bacterium. RNAcentral's name for it is "bacterial SSU rRNA". It matches the Rfam family "Bacterial small subunit ribosomal RNA", at positions 355 to 896 of the family's 1533-position model. The record is from RNAcentral.